This is an RNA transcript of Rosa rugosa (rugosa rose), 1127 nucleotides long. RefSeq lists it as uncharacterized. NCBI's taxonomy places the organism in Eukaryota, Viridiplantae, Streptophyta, Magnoliopsida, Rosales, Rosaceae. The transcript is spliced from 7 exons. The record is from RefSeq and is a predicted model, not a curated record.
CUAUGAAAAGUUGAAAACCACGAGAUUCGCCCUCCGCUCAGAAAAAGGGGGAAAAAAAACUCUCCCAAAAUGGAGGUGCUCCCUCUCGUCCUGCCUCUCUAUCCAUCAUCGGUAACACCCAAAAAUCCAAAAUCACCUACCCAUGUAAUCGUCGGAUCUUCCACUCUCUAAUUUUCGAUGGCGUUUCCUUACCCAAGCCUCACGCUCUUUCUCUACCCUCUCCCUCGCCCUCUCUGCCUUCUCUCCCGUCGACAACUACGUCUUCGACAGCGGCUCCACCUUCGAUGAUGGCCGCCGUUUCGUUUCGGACUCGUUCACUUCAGCUCGCUCAAUUUCACUCAGAAACAAAAACCCCAAUCCCAAUUCCCCCUAAAUUUACCAAACCGCUAAGGUUUUCCGGCGGCCGUCCUAGUAUGAGUUCCAGAUCCGCGACCAGGGGAUCCAUAUGGGAGCUGGUUGAAAUCGGAAGCAAGAGUUCAUGGCUGACCUUGAUGAUUAUGGACAGCCACAGAUUCAGGGGAGGUUUGCUGCAAUGGUUGUCUGUUGGCUUCUGGGAAAUGGGUGCCUUUUUCCUGGAACAGUGUGCUUACACUCCAAGAUUACUAUGUUGCCUUGUUCCCGGUGAUUUUGGGUUCGCAGCAUAGUGUACGUGGACAAUGCCAAAGCUCAACAUGGUUAUUCCCCAAGCAAUAUGCUGCAUUAGAUAUGGACUUGCUGUGGGUUCCAACUUUGUAUGGCUUGUCUGAAUUUUGAUGAUUAUUUGCUACCCAAUGGCUUAUUCAAUUGGAAAGAUAUUGAACUCUGUUCUGGAACAUAAUGAAGCAUUAUUUAGGCGAGCUCAGUUUAAAGCCCUCGUCUCCAUCCAAAGCAAAGAGAUUGCUUCAGAAGGACUCAAGCAGAGAGUAUUUGAGACAUCACUUGUUGAUCUUCAGGGAGAUGAGGGGCAUGCUUACAGAAAAAUGCGGUUGAGAUCGGCUCAGAUUAUCCCAAGAUUGUUUUUGCUUGCUAUGGAUUUCUCUUUGCUUGAAAGCAAAUUUUAUAUGAUGUACAAUAAAUAGAUUAAUGAAGUUUAUUUUACCAACAAAAAUAUAGCAACAUGAAAUAUAUAAAUUGUGAACUUUUGGAUU